Molecule: ribosomal RNA, 235 nt
Filed under: uncultured bacterium
Lineage: Bacteria
Description: partial 16S ribosomal RNA
Rfam family: Bacterial small subunit ribosomal RNA
Source: RNAcentral
UGGCGGACGGGUGAGUAAUGUCUGGGAAACUGCCCGAUGGAGGGGGAUAACUACUGGAAACGGUAGCUAAUACCGCAUAGUGUCUACGGACCAAAGCGGGGGACCUCCGGGCCUCGCGCCAUCAGAUGAACCCAUAUGGGAUUAGCUAGUAGGUAAGGUAACGGCUUACCUAGGCGACGAUCCCUAGCUGGUCUGAGAGGGUGAUCAGCCACACUGGGACUGAGACACGGUCCAG